GACUGUACACGCCUUAGUCUUAUUUUGUUCAUUUGCUUUUAGGCUCUUCUUGUUUUUCUCUUUUAUAAACUUUUAAUCAUCUUAAAUAGUUUAAUCUCCAAGCUAAUUUGUACACAUAUCUGCUAUGGAAAAGGAAGCUUACCCAAUGCAGAAAGGAUACUGGUUCACUGAUUCCAUAACCUGCCAACCAGAGUACCUUUAGAUUGCUCAACCCUCUACAUUUCUCAUUGAUGCCUUCAUCUGAAAAAUGAAAUAUCAUAUUUCACCGUUGCAUAAGUUUUUCUACUGCAACCCCCCCUCCCCCCGCGAACAGAAAAGUUACACCCCCAAAUUUCGCGAAAUUCCAUCUCUCGCCAGACCGCGACUAAAGCAAACUCAAAUUUGGCAGUUUCGAAGUAAAGAGGCGUAUCUUCAGAAAAAAUUGAUUCAGAUUUUUAUAAGAAACCUAUUCCCUCUGACGAAAAAAAAAAACUAUUCCCUUUGACGGCUUUUGCUCGGAUUCAAUUGAUCUGCGUCUUUGUUCAUCUCCAUAUCUUUAUCCUGCAUUAUCGAUCAGUACCGGUGAACUUAUAAUGCGCCAUUUUACUGGUAUGUUGCAGCCUCUCUGUUUGUUCUGCUUCUUGUAAUAUUUAGCUGUUUCUUUCAUGUUAUCUUAUCUUGUUUUCGUUUUUGUUACAUUGUUGGUUAUUUGGAGUAUAUAUUUGUAGCAUCUCACUUGCUUCUUUUGCUAGUUGUUUCCAAUUGAAUUCGAGCUUAAGAAUGUGAAGUGUUGAAGAAAUUGUUUGAGUCUUUAUUCAUGGGUGUAAAACCUGUUCAAGAGUCAUCUAAUGAUGUAAUCCAGAGAGUAAGACUUGCCUUACUACCUGUUUUUCUUCUUGGUUGGGAGAAAAGAGAGAAAAAAACAAGAAGAAGAGAAAGUUCAAGAAGAAUGGGUGGAAUCUUUAGCAUUUUUUUAAUAGUAUGAUGUAGGGGCACAUAUACAAAUUGUCCGGUUCCUGCUUCUUAGAAGACAAAAUAAAGAAUGAAGGCCAGCAACUAUUAGCAUCUGUUGUGGAGUGGAUUUUAACAGUAUGAACUAGUUCUACUAUUGGUGGUCUUGCAAGAUAUGUAGGGAAUAUGAGUAUUUAUCGUGUGUUGAUUAAAAGAAGUAGCAACAUAGCAAAUGAUGGAGUCCGUACAAUAAGAGUGAGAACAAUGAUUACCAAACCAAGGUUCCUGCACCAUCUAUUCUUGAAGGAACUAACAACACUGUCUAAGAGAAAAUAAUAAGAACUGAGCAUCAAUGCCUCAGCAAGCCUACAUCAUGCUCUUCUCCUAUAAGGAUCGAAGCAGAGUGCUGCAGCUAAUCCUAGCAAGAUUGCUCCACGACAAAUCCGAUGUAGACACUCUCCUUAUACUGAAGUCAGACUCCUCUCUUCCAUUCUUGGAGGUAUUUCACAAUUUAAUACUGUUACGUUCGUCGUCUAAUGGAUGACCACAAAGAAAAGGAUUUCCUUGACAGUUGCUUUUCUCGAAAGUUUCGAACAGAGCUUUAGACUUAGGUACUGCACCAGAUAAGUUAUUGUAUGCCACGCUGAAUAUCUCCAAAGAAUGUAGUACGCUGCCAAGAAUUCUCCCAUUCAAGUUGUUGCAGGAAACGUCUAAACUCUCGAUUUCUUGUAAAUUGGAGAAGGCAUCUGGGAUUCUUCCAAUGAGAUGGUUGUGUGAUAGAUUCAAUGCAUGUAUUUUGCUCACAUUCCCGAGAUCAAUGGGAAUUUCACCAGUUAAUCUGUUACUUGAGAGAUCAAUAACUGACAUGUAUCUGAGAAUGCUUCCCUUAUAAAAGUAUGAGUUUCUUUUUGUUGAAAAAUGGACCUGGGUUUCCACAUCCAUGUAAUUGCAGUCACUUGGAAAUAACUUCUAUUGUGGUAGUGCCUUGUUGAACUUACCCAAUCCAGGAAAAUUAACCACACUUGCUUCGAAAUCCCUGUAUAAUAGAUCCCUAUUAUUUCU
Molecule: long non-coding RNA, 1992 nt
Organism: Nicotiana attenuata
Lineage: Eukaryota; Viridiplantae; Streptophyta; Magnoliopsida; Solanales; Solanaceae
Exons: 2
Source: RefSeq, a predicted model, not a curated record